GCCAGAUCCAACACCUCCGGCUCGGCCCCCACCCAGCCCCUUCCCACGGUGUGUGCCGGGCCCAGCGCCCCAGGGCGAUGCCAGGGCAAACACCCCGGCAGCAGUGAUGGAAAACCACCAUUGCCCAGUUCCACCAGUUCAUCACUGGGGCCAGGUGUGGGCUACACACUCCCAGAACAGCCCUGGAGCCCGGCGCUGGCCUCAGACCCUCCAGCAGCCCUUAGAUGAGGCCUUUGCUGUGGUAGGAAAUGGUUUCUCUGAGGAUUUUGUUUGCCAGAGGAGAAAACUGGGCUGGAAUUUGCAAGAAGAAAGUUUGAGGGGAAUGGCAAAGAAUUGCUAUAUUAGUUUUCCAGAAGGAGCUUCCAGUUGUGCCGGCACACAGCGACGUGUCCUGGAGCGACACAAACGGGGGGAAUACCCAAAAGUGAUAUUAGGUGAAGGGUCUCUUUCCCAGGAAAAGUUUGGCAACCCACAGAUUCCGUUGCCAGCCUCUGUCUGCAGCUAAACCAAUUACUGCAGACAAAUUGGCAUGGACGUUCGCCUCACUGAGCUCUCGGCUGCACAAAGGGCUCGCUUUCCCUCCUCGCCUUCCCUCUUUGCUUUCCCUCCUCGCUUUCCCUCCUUGCCGUCCCUCCUUGCUUUCCCUCAUUUUCCCUCCCUUUCCCCCUUCCCUGACACGAUUUUACGAGAGAGGAAAAUUACUCGGAUGCUGAGCGUACUGAUUGGGGCUGAAGCCUCCCAGCUGCUGCACCCAAACGCUGCCCUGGGGCUCAGCCCAACCCUUCAGCUGUUUUGGGGUGAAGAAGAGGAUCUGUGCUCCCCACCCCAGUUUGCCUCUCGAGCCCAAGGUGGGAUCUCUCCCUGCUAUCCCAUUCCCAUGGAGCUGCAGGAGAAGCACCACGUUUGUGUUCCAAGUGGGGAAACCGAGGCACAGCUCCUUACUUGCAGGGGCAAAUCAGACCCAUGGGGGACGAUUUUAAUCUUUUAAAAUCUGAAUCUUUUAAAAUCAACAUUUUGGGGUCUUUUGGGGUGAAGGCUGUUGCCGUGGCAGAGAUAGGGGGUCUUGCACGUCUCUCCUGGCUCCUGGGGACUCUUUGGACAUGGGUGAGCUCUGUGCAAGGAGCAUUCCUGGCUGAGCAGAGGGAGGUGGGGAAGGUGCCCAGCCCAGGUGUGCAGGAGGGCCCUUGGGCAGCACAGAGCCAGCAGGACCUGCAGGCUCUCACCGAAAUGCCCGCGCUGGCACUCCCCACCUGCCUGGCCAUCCUGGCUGUGCUCCCAGAGCGGGGAGGAGGGGAAAGGCAGCGUCACGGGCCAGGAAGCCGAGCCAAAUCUCAGCCCAGUGAUAAUGUUGAACACUGAUUUCUAUAUUCCCCUUCCUCCGGCCUGGCAGGACUGUGGGGUGUGUGGAGCCAACAGCUCCUGCAGCCGGAGCCUCCAUCGUGGGGCAUCCUGAAUCCGAGUGUGCCCUGCAUCCCAGCCAGCUCUGAGGCUCAGACCUGCCAGGGGGAACUGCAAGGCAGAAGGAGACUCCAAAUAAAGGGUGUUUUGGAAGAAUGGAGGCCCUGUUU
This is a long non-coding RNA of Parus major (Great Tit), 1568 nucleotides long. The record is from Ensembl. NCBI's taxonomy places the organism in Eukaryota, Metazoa, Chordata, Aves, Passeriformes, Paridae.